UUCAGCGGGACAUCAUUGCGGGUAGGGUGGCCGAGUAGGCGGCAGGCUGUAGUCCUGUUUACGGGGCAGGCCCCCCCAACCA
This 82-nucleotide transfer RNA is filed under the name Cyrtodactylus bintangrendah. RNAcentral's name for it is "partial tRNA-Tyr". The record is from RNAcentral. Lineage: Eukaryota; Metazoa; Chordata; Lepidosauria; Squamata; Gekkonidae.